AACGAACGCUGGCGGCAGGCUUAACACAUGCAAGUCGAACGAGAUCUUCGGAUCUAGUGGCAGACGGGUGAGGAACACGUUGGAACAUCCCUUUCAGUUCGGAAUAACGUUGGGAAACUAACGCUAAUACCGGUUACGUCCUUCGGGAGAAAGAUUUAUCGCUGAAAGCUUGGCACGCGUGUGAUUAGCUAGUUGGUGAGGUAACGGCUCACCAAGGCUACGAUCAGUAGCGGAUCUGAGAGGAUGAUCAGCCACAUUGGGACUGAGACACGGCCCAAACUCCUACGGGAGGCAGCAGUGGGGAAUAUUGGACAAUGGGGGCAAGCCUGAUCCAGCCAUGCCGCGUGAGUGAUGACGGCCUUCGGGUUGUAAAGCUCUUUUGUCCGGGAAGAUAAUGACUGUACCGGAAGAAUAAGCCCCGGCAAACUUCGUGCCAGCCGCCGCCGUAA
This 449-nucleotide ribosomal RNA is filed under the name uncultured bacterium. RNAcentral's name for it is "partial 16S ribosomal RNA". It matches the Rfam family "Bacterial small subunit ribosomal RNA", at positions 29 to 523 of the family's 1533-position model. The record is from RNAcentral.